AAGUCGUAACAAGGUUUCCGUAGGUGAACCUGCGGAAGGAUCAUUAACACGUAUCCAAACGUAAAACCCCCCGUGAACCUUAACCCUGCUCUCCUGACGUUCGAGAGAAGCGAAAGAAACGCCCCAUGACUCUGUGGGCCGUUUCUUGAACUUUCUCGAAGGAGUGUGGAUAGAUGCGGGUCGCAAGUAGGCUUGCGGCUGCUGUCUGUUAACAAUGGAUAUCUUGGUUCUC
This 232-nucleotide unclassified non-coding RNA is filed under the name fungal sp. Its description in RNAcentral is "partial internal transcribed spacer region". The stretch from base 1 to 46 matches the Rfam family "Eukaryotic small subunit ribosomal RNA", at positions 1786 to 1831 of the family's 1831-position model. The record is from RNAcentral. Lineage: Eukaryota; Fungi.